RNAcentral lists this long non-coding RNA (396 nucleotides) under Homo sapiens (human). RNAcentral describes it as "non-protein coding LINC02207:13". The record is from RNAcentral. Lineage: Eukaryota; Metazoa; Chordata; Mammalia; Primates; Hominidae.
UAGAUAUCAACAUUUCAUGUCACGUAGAGAUCUAGCAUCACAAGAAUCCAAGUCAUCCUCUGUUGCCUUUAAGACAAAAAGCAGAUCAGCAAGUUUUCAUAUUGCACUAUUUUCAAUGGCUGGAGCAUCAACAUUUUACAACAAGAAAAAAAUUAAAAUUCUUCAACAUUUGGAAAAGAAGUGUUUGUAAAACUUUUCACAUCCAUUCACCAUCCGGAAAAGCAAGGUUUUACAGUGAGGCCUGAUGAUGUCUAGAGUCACCAUGCAUCUUGGAAAAUGACCUCCUAUUUAUUUCUUCUACAGGACACCAUGGUGUUCACCUUUCUACAACUUUACACUUGCUGAGGACAUAUUGUGGAAAAUUAAGAGAAAUAUAUAUGGAUGGCCAAGGCUGUA